Molecule: ribosomal RNA, 439 nt
Filed under: uncultured bacterium
Lineage: Bacteria
Description: partial 16S ribosomal RNA
Rfam family: Bacterial small subunit ribosomal RNA
Source: RNAcentral
CUACGGGACGCUGCAGUGAGGAAUAUUGCACAAUGGGGGGAACCCUGAUGCAGCAACGCCGCGUGGAGGAUGACGCAUUUCGGUGUGUAAACUCCUUUUAUAUGUCAAGAGAAUGACGGUAGCAUAUGAAUAGGCACCGGCUAACUCCGUGCCAGCAGCCGCGGUAAUACGGAGGGUGCAAGCGUUACUCGGAAUCACUGGGCGUAAAGGACGCGUAGGCGGGUUGGAAAGUCAGGUGUGAAAUCCUACAGCUUAACUGUAGAACUGCACUUGAAACUUCUAAUCUAGAGUAUGGGAGGGGGAGAUGGAAUUAGUGGUGUAGGGGUAAAAUCCGUAGAUAUCACUAGGAAUACCUAAAGCGAAGGCGAUCUCCUGGAACAUUACUGACGCUAAGGCGUGAAAGCGUGGGGAGCAAACAGGAUUAGAUACCCGGGUAGUC